AAGACUAUAGACCUGCGGAGUACCUGCGGAGGGAUCAUUACAGAGUUAUCUAACUCCCAAACCCAUGUGAACUUACCUUUGUUGCCUCGGCAGUAGUUGCUGGGCGAGCCUACCCGGGAACGAGCUACCCUGUAGCGAGUUACCCUGGAACGACUUACCCUGUAACGCCUGCCGGUGGACUACUAAACUCUUGUUAUUUUUAAAGUAAUCUGAGCGUCUUAUUUUAAUAAGUCAAAACUU
This 240-nucleotide unclassified non-coding RNA is filed under the name soil metagenome. RNAcentral describes it as "partial contains 5.8S ribosomal RNA, internal transcribed spacer 2, and large subunit ribosomal RNA". The record is from RNAcentral.